CUAAGCCAGGGACCCAAAGCUCAGACGCUUACAACAAAAGGAUCUCUACAGAAGCAGUAUUCAGGGAGAUAAAUUACACAUUCUGUUUGUUAGGCCACAAGGUUUGGGGGUGACUUAAGGGGAAGAAACCAGGGACUGCUCCAGGGAGGAUGCUAGUGAAGCACCCUUCAGUUUGUGGGUGGUUCCAAAGCCCCAGCAUAGUGAGGUGAGGCUGGGGACACGGGAGAGGAAGACCAGUGACUCAUGCCAGCAUCUUGAUGUCAGGCUUGGAGCCUGGCAUGUACAGCACAGGAUGCAGCCUGGAGCACUGAAACGGAGACUACUACCCAGAGAAGAGCCUAGAAGCCGAGCAUGUGCUCCAAAGAGUAGCUUGUUGGCAGCAGGCGAGAGCAAGAGAGGCAGGCAGCCUGACUGGCAUAGGUGUGUGCAAGGACCUGAAGGGAUAUGGAAUAAGAGUCAAGAGAGGAUUAACCCUCAUGAGACUCUGCAAUUGACAGCUGGGUGAGGACCAUCACAGGACAGAUUUGUGGUUUGCCAUGCAGAGAUGGGUUACUUGGAGCCAUACUAAAGGUACCAAAAAGGACACUAUACACUAGAAACAAGUCCAUCAAGAGCAGAAAGGUGUUAAUGAAAUCCAGAGGAUACAAGACUCAGAGGCUUCUGAAAAGAAAAACUGAACUGGGAUCUGAACUAGGGCUGUCCUGUGCUGGAAGAUGUAAAGAAGCCACUUGUAGGUGAAAAGUAGGUAAGUAAUAAAGCAAGAAUUUGUUAACCAAGCCAGAUCAACAAGGUCUUUGGAGUAACUGAGCAGAACAAGGGGUGACAAGUCAAAAGCUUAGCCGUGGUGGCAGCAGUUAGAGCUCAGAACACUAGAACUCCAGAUUACUUUCUCUCUCAGCUUGCUAGGGGGGAAAAGAAGUUUGACUCUGUGUGGUAGGUGGGUAAAAUGGAAAUAUCCUGGACUAUUAACUACUGGAUGUCUGAAGGUUCCUUCUCCAGCAAAGACACUGGCUAUUUCAAACAUCAGUGAUGCUUGUGGGCAAGGGAAAGAAGUGACAAUGUGGAAGCCAACAGGGCAAAGAUUAACCUAUAAUGACACAGAUUUACAAUGUCCUCAUCUCUUUGGUCUGUGGGUACAGGGGCUCUUAUCUUAGAGAAAUAAAUGGACUCUGGGUAUGCCAUAUAGCACAGUGCAGUGCUGUGCACAAAGACCCCAGUCCAUCUAGGUAUUGGCUCACAUACCAGUCUACACAGCACAGGGCAGUCCCAAGCAGACAUACGUGAUUCUCUGCAUGCAUUAGCUCCAGAACUAGAUGCAGUAUAGCCAUAUCAGCCUGGAUGCAGUAUCAUACUAGUUUGCCCUGCUUCUCUUCAGAGCCAACUGACCCACAAGCAACCCUACACCAAUUAUACAGCUACUGGUAUCUGAGCUAUCUCUCUGCACAGGGCUACUUUGCACCACAAAGGCUUACCCUACAAGUCUCUGUGAUCGGGUGAGAAUCCUGGCUCUUCCAGCCCAAAGAUGGAAAAAGUAACUACUACCUUAAUGAGGUAAUGGCUGGCUCUAAACCAGAGGUGGGUAAAAUGUGGCCAGGGGGCCAGACGCAGCCCGCCAGGCCAUUCUAUCCGGCCCAUGGGGCCCCUAAAAAAUUUAGAAAAUUAAUAUUAAUCUGCCCUGGGCUGCCUGUCGUGCGGCCCUUGAUGGCUUGCCGAAACUCAGUAAGUGGCCCUCUGCCCAAAAUAAUUGCCCGCCCCUGCUCUAAACAGCCCGGUGUGCUGUUUUCAGUACUGACAUCUGGUCCAAGGCCUGAGGUCAUUAGAUUAGAAGUGAACUGUAAAAGUCCUAAAGAAGCAAGUUAGGAGGUAAGGAGACAAGUUUUGCAUUUGUGCUUUUUUCAAUAUACUAGCCAGCUGCCCAUCAAGAAUAAUGGGGGCGGAG
Alligator mississippiensis (American alligator) is the source of this 1939-nucleotide long non-coding RNA. RefSeq lists it as uncharacterized. Lineage: Eukaryota; Metazoa; Chordata; Crocodylia; Alligatoridae. The transcript is spliced from 3 exons. The record is from RefSeq and is a predicted model, not a curated record.